Molecule: long non-coding RNA, 884 nt
Organism: Meriones unguiculatus (Mongolian gerbil)
Lineage: Eukaryota; Metazoa; Chordata; Mammalia; Rodentia; Muridae
Exons: 3
Source: RefSeq, a predicted model, not a curated record
CCGGGCUCGCCCCGCGGCACCGCCGCCCGGAACGCCGGGGGUCCCUCGGCGGGCGCGCGCGGCUCCCGGGCGACCCUCCCCGUCCCCGGGCCUCCGAUGGAACGGCCCGCUCCGCCGCCGUCACGUGGGCUCCUCCUCCGUGACGUCGGCGCCUUCGCUGUAGCAGAGCUCCGGCCUCUGGAAUUCUGAGAACUAAUUUGCUAGUCGGUGACAUAAGAGGGGGAGUGCGCUGCGCUUGCCCGGGGGUCUGGGGCUUCUUCAUUCUUCCUCUCCUACCCAUAAACUCGGCUCCUCGAGCUUAAAUGACACAAAAGGGAGCGGAGAGGUUUGAGCCUUUUGGAGCAAGUGUGUUGGAGGCAGGUUUAGGGAGGCGAGUGAGAGAGAAAACAAUAAAUGCCACAGCUCCUUCCAGCUAGAAUAUUAGGCACCACGAGAAAGCUAUUUGCCAAGCAGUUUUCGGAUGACUGUAAACUCACCAUGUUGCCUAGACUGGCCUUGAAGAUAUGACCUUCCUUCCUCUACUUCUCAAGUUCUGAAAUGGAAGAUGUGUGCCACUAUUUCAGGAGCAUCCCCUGGUCUGUAGAAUCUACAUGUUCUUACCAUCUUUGCCACAAGAAGCAACUUCAAGGAACUACUCUCUCUGCUCUUCCUUAAAAAGCAAGUCUUAACUUUGUGAAUUUUAUCGUGAGGUCCACCACUCAGCUGCCUCUUCAGACUCCCCACGGUACUCCUCUUGCCAUUUCAGCUACAGCUGCUACAUUUGUUCCUCCACUGAAGCCGCAAACCCUUCAACGUCUUUCACAUACAUUGGGGCCAGCUUCUUCGAAACUUCUGUGAAAUCAUAAGAUCUCCCAUGGAUCACAAAUGUCUCUCUAAAUGGCAUC